RNAcentral lists this long non-coding RNA (340 nucleotides) under Solanum tuberosum (potato). RNAcentral's name for it is "long non-coding RNA (STUB_LNC008308)". The record is from RNAcentral. Lineage: Eukaryota; Viridiplantae; Streptophyta; Magnoliopsida; Solanales; Solanaceae.
CUACUUUUAAGUUAGUUUUUGACUUAUGAAAGUAUUUGACAAAUAUAAAAAUUGUUGGGCUAUUGCCCAUGUUUAGAGUUCCUCCACUUGAAGUCCAUUUGGCCCCUUGGCUGGAGGGGGAGUUUGUUGGGCUAUUGCCCAUGUUCCAGCCAAAGGCCCAUGGCCUAAUCCUACUUGAAAAAGGAUUGGAAUUAUUCUCUUUAUUUGGUUUCUAAUAAGGAUUGGAAUAAUAAUCUUAUUUGGAGUUGGUUUUGGCUUUGUAAGGAAAAGCACAACUCUAUAAAUAGAGGAUGGUCUUAAUAGAAUAAUUCAGAUUGCUCAUUAGUAUUGUCUUUGAAAG